UUCGCUCGGGACGUCGGAGUUGAGUAGACGCAGCGUUAUUGUCGUCCGUGCUGUCAAACUUUCGUCGUAACGUCCCUAAUUUUUACUUUAAAUUUAUUUGCCGUAUCCAAAGAAAGAUUAAUAAUAAACUCUGUGCGUGUGUAUCCCCCACUUAUUGGGGUUCACUGUACGAGCUUCGAUCUGGCGAGCAUACCCUACGUCGUUGUCCUGCCAAGGAUUCAUCAUCACCAGGGCAGUACCGCUCUGCACAGCAAGCCAAACCACCUUAUCUCGGCCAACUUACCCACAAUAUCCCACAAUAUAGUAUUAACUAACUAUGCAAUGUUACAAUGAAUAAACAAAAUUAAUUUUCUUUGUAA
Long non-coding RNA from Ostrinia nubilalis (European corn borer), 359 nucleotides. RefSeq lists it as uncharacterized. The transcript is spliced from 2 exons. The record is from RefSeq and is a predicted model, not a curated record. NCBI's taxonomy places the organism in Eukaryota, Metazoa, Arthropoda, Insecta, Lepidoptera, Crambidae.